RNAcentral lists this transfer RNA (52 nucleotides) under Corythalia opima. Its description in RNAcentral is "tRNA-Ala". The record is from RNAcentral. Lineage: Eukaryota; Metazoa; Arthropoda; Arachnida; Araneae; Salticidae.
AGAUAGUAUUAAUUGAUUUGCAAUCAGUUUUGAUGGAUGACCAUACUAUAAU